RNAcentral lists this unclassified non-coding RNA (365 nucleotides) under uncultured fungus. Its description in RNAcentral is "partial contains small subunit ribosomal RNA, internal transcribed spacer 1, and 5.8S ribosomal RNA". The stretch from base 1 to 73 matches the Rfam family "Eukaryotic small subunit ribosomal RNA", at positions 1759 to 1831 of the family's 1831-position model. The record is from RNAcentral. Lineage: Eukaryota; Fungi.
ACAAACUUGGUCAUUUAGAGGAAGUAAAAGUCGUAACAAGGUUUCCGUAGGUGAACCUGCGGAAGGAUCAUUAACAAAUCCUGUUGUGAAGAGUGUAUUGUUGUGUUGCAUUUGCAUUCAUUGUUGCUUGCUUGCUUGUCUCUGAUUGGUGCAUUCGUGCAUUGAUUGUGAUUGUGAUUGCAAGUGGCACGUGACAUGCAAAUGCAACACACAAUACACUCGACACUUGUUCCAUGUGCAUGUUCACUCUGCACAUGUGUCACAAACAUUUCUGCUCAUUUGUCUGAUUGCAUUUGUUGCGUGUGAGAGAAUGAACGACUUUUAACAAUGGAUCUCUAGGCUCUUGCAUCGAUGAAGAACGCAGC